Photinus pyralis (common eastern firefly) is the source of this 616-nucleotide long non-coding RNA. RefSeq lists it as uncharacterized. The record is from RefSeq and is a predicted model, not a curated record. The transcript is spliced from 2 exons. NCBI's taxonomy places the organism in Eukaryota, Metazoa, Arthropoda, Insecta, Coleoptera, Lampyridae.
UUCAAAGGGCUGUAACUUUUGAACUAGUGGCCCAAUCUUGGAACUGUUUGAAAUUAUGGAUUCUACAGGCCAAAUUCAACUGAUUUGAUCUGAUUUAGUUCACAAAUAUCUCGGCUCUUUUGGGAUACAUACUUACCCAUCAAAAGAUCUUUUUUAAUCCGACUUCACUUUUUAGCCGGUCUCAAGCGGUACCUACCUUCAUCGCUAGCUAUCUAAAACGACGAAGACCGAAGGAACUAGUCAACUCUGCAAUUCUCAACAAAGACCAACAUUCUUAGGGAUGAGUACUAUUCACCAUCACCACUUCGAAUUCGGCGCUGUCAUUAUCAUCAUUCCGGUCCAUCCGCCAUCGAGGUUUACUGUUAAGGUAGCUACUAGUAGUCAAUCAAAGUGACAAUGGUGUUUCACUACUAGUAGCUUCAAUUGAGAACAAAAUAUACGUAUCAAGUUAUUUAUUUUUUAAGUUAUCACUGUUACAGGAAGAUCUUUGUAAUACAAAAAAGAAACGUAUUUCAUUUGUUCAUCUCUAGAAUAAUAUUGUACUGCCCUAACUGCACUUUGCUGGUAGCUCGCACUAGUUCAUCACACGACAUAGUCUCUCCACCCCCCCCCCCCC